AUUUAAUUCAGGCACCUGAGCCAACAGCAGGCUCAUGCCCAAAAUGGCUGCCGACCCCUGCAAAGAAAGCAGGCUUGCUUAAGUGCCGUUUGAGGCGGGAAAACAAGGCAGGUUACAGGUUUCAGACAAAGACAGUAAAUUAUCCAACCCGUGACAAUUCGGAGAGAACUUACAAUUUAGUUAUUUUGUCCAGUCAACUUUGAAGCUGAACAGAGCUGGGUAUCUCUUACCAUCCGGCCCAGGCAGCAGCCAGCCCUGCCUGGGCCGCGGCCGCCGGCCUCAUGAGCCUGGCAUUCCUGUCGCCCCCUCUCCCCAUAGCUUGCCUCCUCCUUCUCACAGUCGGGCGCCCGGCUCCUCGAGACGCAGGACCACCUCAGAUCUCCAGUCCUGCACCUGCCGGCUGAGCAAACGAGGAGACGGGGAGAAAAGCUGUCUGUCGUUCCUGAAGGAACAGGACCUCCGCACUCCAAGAAGGAAUCGGGCGCCCAGUGGGGGCUGCAGGAGCAGAGGACGGUGGCGGCAGUAGCAGGAGAGGCAGGAGUAGGAGCAGUGGCUUCUCUGGAGGUGGCACUGUCUGCCCCCUUGAGCCUCUUCCUAACGCAGUCUUGAUUCAAAAUCCCUGCUCACCACGGAUGCACAGUCACAGCUGAAGAUUGUAGUUAUCUAGGAGGAUUCUUUCUUAGUUGUAAAUCUAUGUUUUAUAUAGGAGUUUUUUCGUUGUUUCUCUCAUUCUUUCUUGAAAUUUCAUAUUACUAUUUUUUUUUUCUUUUUUGGUAAGUUCCUUGACAUUCGUGUUUUGUGAGUUUGGUUUUACCUACGUAUUAUGAUUUUGGAUGUAAAUCUGCAACUCUAUGUACAUGUUAAGUCAAUGUGAUGUUUAAUCAAAAUAUGAAUCAGCCAUAUCUACCACCAAUAAAAUCGUGUGUUUGUUUGCCUCUGUAAGUAUAGUCUAUUUCUUCUUAAUUAUCUUGCAUAUUUCUCUUCUUGGCUGGUGUCAAAAGUUGUUUUAUCUUGUUCAGGACAGUAGUCAUAUAAGUAGUCUUAACUUACCCACGUAUUUAUUGAACAAAUCUAUAUUUUCUUUGUGUGAGGAAAACACAUUUAUAAUUUGAAGGUAAUUUUCCAAAAAGUUUGUAACUCGGUAUCUCUUUUAUGUAUCACUUUACAAUAUUUUAACUGUAAUAAAACACAACAAAAUUUACCAGUCUAUACAUUUGUAAUUGCAUAAUUUAUUAGUGGUACAUAUAUCCACAUUGUUAUGCAACAGGCUUCUAGAGCUUUUCCAUUGCAAAACUAAAACUCAAUACCCAUAUACGUCAACUGCCCAUUUUACCCUCUCCUGAGCCCUUAACAUUUUACUUUCCAUUUCUGUGAGUUGGACUACUUAAGAUAUCUCAUAAGUGGAAUCACACAAUCACUGUCACUUUGUUUCCUGGCACAUUUCACUUAACAUCAUGCCCUAAAGGUUUAUUGUCAUUGCAGCAUGUGAUAAGAUUUCCUUUUAAAAUCAUAUUUCAUUGUAUGUAUAUAUCAUAUUUACUUAUUUAUCUGUCAAGGGACAUUCAAGUAGCUUCUACCUUUUGGAUUUUUAGAAUAAUUCUGUCAUAAACAUGGGUAUGUAAAUGUUUCUUUCAGGUCCCG
This 1641-nucleotide long non-coding RNA is filed under the name Homo sapiens (human). Its description in RNAcentral is "HSALNT0230013". The record is from RNAcentral. Lineage: Eukaryota; Metazoa; Chordata; Mammalia; Primates; Hominidae.